Molecule: long non-coding RNA, 358 nt
Filed under: Homo sapiens (human)
Lineage: Eukaryota; Metazoa; Chordata; Mammalia; Primates; Hominidae
Description: HSALNT0320101
Source: RNAcentral
AUUUUAUUUUGGCCAGGAGCUGAAGUUGGUUGUUUAGUAGUAGUAGUUUGAGUAGUGACCGAAGUAGUAGUCUGGUGUGUGGGUGGGGCAGCUGUGGUCUCUGGUGGAGCUGAGGCGGAUGAUGGGUCUAGGGUAGUUGCAGAAGGUGUGGGUGGGGCAGCUGUGGUCUCUGGUGGAGCUGAGGAAGAUGGUGGAGCUGGUGUAGUUGCAGGAGGUGUGGGUGGGGCAGCUGUGGUCUCUGGUGGAGCUGAGGAAGAUGGUGGAGCUGGUGUAGUUGCAGAAGGUGUGGGUGGGGCAGCUGUGGUGUCUUGUGGAGCUGGGGAAUUCACUGGUGCUAAUGUAGCUACAGAAGAGCUUG